AGAAAUUGCAUGGCUCUUUCGGCCGCAUCUUGGCUGGUAACUUGAUCGUCUUUGGGGUCGUACCAGUUAAUGUUCAACGUGAUCCCUGCCUUACCUGUUGGAUUUGCAUCACAACCGACGAUCAUCCCAAUUAUGAAAAAAAAGCUAGAAAUGGUCAAGUCAUUUCGGCGGCUACCGUCAGCAUCCCAUCCGCCUUCUAUCUGAUGGGCACUCGUUGCCGCUGCCCACAUGAAGUCGGUUGGAAACGUGUCGUAGAGUAGCGGCUCAUCGACGUAAAUACCGGUGACGGUGCCCACCACUACCAGUAGCAAACAUGUUAAUUUCAUCGCCAUCUACACGUACACA
Molecule: long non-coding RNA, 345 nt
Organism: Daphnia carinata
Lineage: Eukaryota; Metazoa; Arthropoda; Branchiopoda; Diplostraca; Daphniidae
Exons: 2
Source: RefSeq, a predicted model, not a curated record